AAUCAACGCUGGCGGCGUGCCUAACACAUGCAAGUCGAACGAGAAAGUGGAGCAAUCCAUGAGUAAAGUGGCGACCGGGUGAGUAACACGUGACUAACCUACCUUCAAGUGGGGGAUAACCUCGGGAAACCGGGGCUAAUACCGCAUAACAUCCUUAGAGUGGAAAUUCCGGGGAUCAAAGGAGCAAUUCGCUGGAAGAGGGGGUCGCGGCUGACUAGUUAGUUGGCGGGGUAAUGGCCCACCAAGACAGAGAUUGGUAGCCGGCCUGAGAGGGCGCACGGCCACACUGGAACUGAAACACGGUCCAGACUCCUACGGGAGGCAGCAGUGGGGAAUUUUGCGCAAUGGGGGAAACCCUGACGCAGCAACGCCGCGUGGAGGAUGAAGUCCCUUGGGACGUAAACUCCUUUCGACCGGGACGAUAAUGACGGUACCGGUGGAAGAAGCCCCGGCUAACUUCGUGCCAGCCGCCGCCGU
RNAcentral lists this ribosomal RNA (477 nucleotides) under uncultured bacterium. RNAcentral describes it as "bacterial SSU rRNA". It matches the Rfam family "Bacterial small subunit ribosomal RNA", at positions 32 to 521 of the family's 1533-position model. The record is from RNAcentral.